Molecule: non-coding RNA, 435 nt
Organism: Cyprinus carpio (common carp)
Lineage: Eukaryota; Metazoa; Chordata; Actinopteri; Cypriniformes; Cyprinidae
Source: the annotation of a RefSeq genome assembly
CAAGACAAAACAACAACAAUGAACAACAUCAUCAUCCUCAUCUGGACUCUCACACUGUUUGCUCAAGAGUGUAGAGGACAGAUCACUGUAACUCAGAGUCCAUCAAUAACAGCAGCUCAACCAGGACAAGAAGUCAGAAUAAACUGUAAAACCAGCAGUAAUGUGUGGAAUGGUAAUGAGUUACACUGGUAUUUACAGAAACCUGGAGAAGCUCCUAAACUCCUCAUAUAUGCUGCAACAAGCCGUUACACUGGAACUCCAUCUAGAUUCAGUGGCAGUGGAUCUAACAGUGAUUUCACUCUGACCAUCAGUGGAGUCCAGACUGAAGAUACAGGAGAUUAUUACUGUCUGAGUUACCACUACAUCAACAGUAAAGAUGUGUUCACACAGUGAUAAAGAGUCGUACAAAAACCUCCGUCAGUCAGAGUCACAGUG